GUCCAUCACUGGAGUCCAUCACUGUAGUCCAUCCCUGUAGUCCAUCACUGGAGUCCAUCACUGUAGUCCAUCCCUGUAGUCCAUCACAUGAGUCCAUCCCUGUAGUCCAUCACAUGAGUCCAUCACUGGAGUCCAUCACUGUAGUCCAUCCCUGUAGUCCAUCACAUGAGUCCAUCCCUGUAGUCCAUCCCUGUAGUCCAUCCCUGUAGUCCAUCACAUGAGUCCAUCAGUGUAGUCCAUCACUGGAGUCCAUCCCUGUAGUCCAUCACAUGAGUCCAUCACUGGAGUCCAUCACUGGAGUCCAUCCCUGUAGUCCAUCACAUGAGUCCAUCACUGGAGUCCAUCACAUGAGUCCAUCACAUGAGUCCAUCACUGGAGUCCAUCACAUGAGUCCAUCACAUGAGUCCAUCACUGGAUCCAUCACAUGAGUCCAUCACUGGAGUCCAUCACAUGAGUCCAUCACAUGAGUCCAUCACAUGAGUCCAUCACAUGAGUCCAUCACAUGAGUCCAUCACUGGAGUCCAUCACAUGAGUCCAUCACAUGAGUCCAUCACUGGAGUCCAUCACAUGAGUCCAUCCCUGUAGCCAUCCCUGGAGUCCAUUACAUGAGUCC
Gasterosteus aculeatus aculeatus (three-spined stickleback) is the source of this 613-nucleotide long non-coding RNA. Lineage: Eukaryota; Metazoa; Chordata; Actinopteri; Perciformes; Gasterosteidae. The record is from Ensembl.